ACUCCUGCGGGAGGCAGUAGUGGGGAAUUUUGGACAAUGGGCGAAAGCCUGAUCCAGCAACGCCGCGUGAGUGAAGAAGGCCUUCGGGUUGUAAAGCUCUUUUGUCAGGGAAGAAACGGUGAGAGCUAAUAUCUUUUGCUAAUGACGGUACCUGAAGAAUAAGCACCGGCUAACUACGUGCCAGCAGCCGCGGUAAUACGUAGGGUGCAAGCGUUAAUCGGAAUUACUGGGCGUAAAGCGUGCGCAGGCGGUUUUGUAAGUCUGAUGUGAAAUCCCCGGGCUCAACCUGGGAAUUGCAUUGGAGACUGCAAGGCUAGAAUCUGGCAGAGGGGGGUAGAAUUCCACGUGUAGCAGUGAAAUGCGUAGAUAUGUGGAGGAACACCGAUGGCGAAGGCAGCCCCCUGGGUCAAGAUUGACGCUCAUGCACGAAAGCGUGGGGAGCAAACAGGAUUAGAUACCCGAGUAGUCCC
This 470-nucleotide ribosomal RNA is filed under the name uncultured organism. RNAcentral's name for it is "partial 16S ribosomal RNA". It matches the Rfam family "Bacterial small subunit ribosomal RNA", at positions 335 to 797 of the family's 1533-position model. The record is from RNAcentral.